This is a non-coding RNA of Oryza sativa Japonica Group (Japanese rice), 1143 nucleotides long. The record is from RefSeq and is a predicted model, not a curated record. NCBI's taxonomy places the organism in Eukaryota, Viridiplantae, Streptophyta, Magnoliopsida, Poales, Poaceae.
AUUAUCAAAAAUCUCCCUCGCUCCCGAAAUCACGCCGCAUCCUCUCUUCAGCCAACGUCGCCCACCCGCUCGUCACCGAUUCCCCAUCCACGAUUUCUCUCCUCUCCCGCGCCGCCCCUCCGUCGUCGUCGCGUGAAGUCCUGGCCGAUCCCCUCCGUCGUCGUCGCGUGAAGUCCUGGCCGAUCCCCUCCGUCGUCGUCGCGUGAACUCCUCGCCGAUCCCCUUCCUCCGUCGCGCCGUCACGCCGCCGAUUCCCCCCUCCUCGUCGGGCGCGCCGCGGGGUUCAGUCGGCGCCGAUCCCCAUCCCCCAGGUCGCCGUCGCCGAUCCUGCAUCUCCUCUGUCCCGUCCUCGCCGAUCCCCCGCCUCCCUCGCGCCGUCACGCCGCCGAUUCUCGCCUCUCCAAGACCGGUAUUCUUGCCUUUUUGUACAAUGCAACUGUGUAUAGACAUAUCCUAGCAGGGAUAGAAGUUUCAGUUUUUUUAAUUAAUGUGUCUUGUGUGAGACCAGUGCAAGGGGAUCCACAUUGUUCUUGAUUUUGUUUUGGUUUCAAGUUUGCUGGUGCAUGUGCAUGUAUAUGAUAACUAUUGCUCCUCGAUGACUGGGUCGCUGUUGAAGGCUCAGUUUUGGCAAGUUUUGAAUUCGAGCUCGAUGGCCGGGUCCCUGUUGAAGGCUUUCAGUUUUGGCAAGUUCUGAAUUCGAGCGAGCUUUCAUUUUUGCAUCUUCCCCAGAUCACUGCUGGUCAACAGGUCAACAAAAGAGGCAGUGGAGACUGAGGAGGUCGCCAUCCACAACCGACAACGACAACGCGACGCCGCUGCCGCCUCAAGAGCCACCGCUGCCUAUCCAUACUCACGCCACCGUUCCUCCUGCGCCGAAAGGUACUUUCAGCGAACAAGAAUCUUACUCCAUUAUAAGGAAUCAAACCAAUCGUGAAGGUAGCUGGUACUUUGAGAACUGUCAGAUAUGCAAAUCUGGCUAAAUAGUCAUCCAUGUGAAAUGCCUUAAUGAACUCUGUAUUUAUAUAGAUGAGAUAGCUCAUUUAGAGAGUACAUACAUGAUGUGGGUUCUUCGAUCCAAUAAACUCUGUAGUGUUGAUCCAUUUAUAUAUAAUUCUCCCUGUUGUGCUGAUCCAUUUAUAUAUA